UACGUAGGGCGCAAGCGUUAUCCGGAAUUACUGGGCGUAAAGGGCGCGUAGGCGGCCUGCUAAGUCGAACGUGAAAUCCCCGGGCUCAACCCGGGAACUGCGUCCGAUACUGGCAGGCUUGAAUCCGGGAGAGGGAUGCGGAAUUCCAGGUGUAGCGGUGAAAUGCGUAGAUAUCUGGAGGAACACCGGUGGCGAAGGCGGCAUCCUGGACCAACACUGACGCUGAGGAGCGAAAGCCAGGGGAGCAAACGGG
This 253-nucleotide ribosomal RNA is filed under the name uncultured bacterium. RNAcentral describes it as "partial 16S ribosomal RNA". It matches the Rfam family "Bacterial small subunit ribosomal RNA", at positions 524 to 776 of the family's 1533-position model. The record is from RNAcentral.